AGAGCGAACGCUGGCGGCAGGCCUAACACAUGCAAGUCGAACGCGACUUCGGUCGAGUGGCGCACGGGUGAGUAACGCGUGGGAACCUGUCCUGUGGUACGGAAUAACAUCGGGAAACUGGUGCUAAUACCGUAUAUCCCCUGAGGGGGAAAGAUUUAUCGCCAUAGGAGGGGCCCGCGUAGGAUUAGCUAGUUGGUGAGGUAACGGCUUACCAAGGCGACGAUCCUUAGCUGGUCUGAGAGGAUGAUCAGCCACACUGGGACUGAGACACGGCCCAGACUCCUACGGGAGGCAGCAGUGGGGAAUAUUGGACAAUGGGCGAAAGCCUGAUCCAGCCAUGCCGCGUGAGUGAUGAAGGCCUUCGGGUUGUAAAGCUCUUUCGCACGUGACGAUGAUGACGGUAACGUGAGAAGAAGCCCCGGCUAACUUCGUGCCAGCAGCCGC
RNAcentral lists this ribosomal RNA (444 nucleotides) under uncultured bacterium. Its description in RNAcentral is "SSU rRNA". It matches the Rfam family "Bacterial small subunit ribosomal RNA", at positions 26 to 518 of the family's 1533-position model. The record is from RNAcentral.